Notothenia coriiceps (black rockcod) is the source of this 325-nucleotide long non-coding RNA. RefSeq lists it as uncharacterized. The record is from RefSeq and is a predicted model, not a curated record. The transcript has 3 exons. NCBI's taxonomy places the organism in Eukaryota, Metazoa, Chordata, Actinopteri, Perciformes, Nototheniidae.
GUUAGCUUUUGAAAUGUAGCUCCUCUUCCUGUGUGUCUGUAGAGCCUGAGCCUGUGAAGGAGCUGCCCUGCCUCAGCCCGCCCAGAGUGGACGACGAGUGGUCCGGACUCAAUGGUGGAUCAGUGGACCCCAGCUCUGAUUGGAACGCCCCCGCUGAAGUCUGGGGCAACUAUGAGGAGGAAACUCCUGAGCCCCCUCCCAUUGUGGAGCAGCCGCUACCGGAGCCCUCCAAGGUGGACCUGCUGAUGGCAGCAGCUGACGAUGCUGAAGAUGAGAAGGACAAGGGAGAGACUGCUGGUGAUGGAGCUGCUAAAACUAAGAAGAA